This 402-nucleotide ribosomal RNA is filed under the name uncultured prokaryote. Its description in RNAcentral is "bacterial SSU rRNA". It matches the Rfam family "Bacterial small subunit ribosomal RNA", at positions 355 to 774 of the family's 1533-position model. The record is from RNAcentral.
UGAGGAAUAUUCGGCAAUGGGGGCAACCCUGACCGAGCAACGCCGCGUGGAGGAUGACGGUUUUUGGAUUGUAAACUCCUUUUCUCAGGGAAGAGUGAGGACGGUACCUGAGGAAUAAGUCACGGCUAACUACGUGCCAGCAGCCGCGGUAAUACGUAGGUGGCAAGCGUUAUCCGGCAUUAUUGGGCGUACAGCGUCCGCAGGUGGUCAGCCAAGUCUGCCGUCAAAUCAGGUUGCUUAACGACCUAAAGGCGGUGAAACUGGCAGACUAGAGAGCAGGAGGGGUAGCAGGAAUUCCCAGUGUAGCGGUGAAAUGCGUAGAGAUUGGGAAGAACAUCGGUGGCGAAAGCGCACUACUGGGCCAAAACUGACACGGAGGGACGAAAGCUAGGGGAGCGAAAG